This 465-nucleotide ribosomal RNA is filed under the name uncultured bacterium. RNAcentral's name for it is "partial 16S ribosomal RNA". It matches the Rfam family "Bacterial small subunit ribosomal RNA", at positions 28 to 507 of the family's 1533-position model. The record is from RNAcentral.
GACGAACGCUGGCGGCGUGCUUAACACAUGCAAGUCGAACGGAAAGGCCCUGCUUGCAGGGUACUCGAGUGGCGAACGGGUGAGUAACACGUGGGUGAUCUGCCCUGCACUUCGGGAUAAGCCUGGGAAACUGGGUCUAAUACCGGAUAGGAGCCAUUUUUAGUGUGAUGGUUGGAAAGUUUUUUCGGUGUAGGAUGAGCUCGCGGCCUAUCAGCUUGUUGGUGGGGUAAUGGCCUACCAAGGCGGCGACGGGUAGCCGGCCUGAGAGGGUGGACGGCCACAUUGGGACUGAGAUACGGCCCAGACUCCGACGGGAGGCAGCAGUGGGGAAGAUUGCACAAUGGGCGCAAGCCUGAUGCAGCGACGCCGCGUGGGGGAUGACGGCCUUCGGGUUGUAAACUCCUUUCGCUAGGGACGAAGCUUUUUGUGACGGUACCUAGAGAAGAAGCACCGGCUAACUACGUG